UACGAAGGUCCCGAGCGUUAUCCGGAUUUAUUGGGCUUAAAGGGUGCGUAGGCGGCUCAUUGCGUCAACCGUGAAAACCAGCAGCUCAACUGUUGGCUUGCGGUUGAUACGGGUGGGCUGGAGUUCGGUAGGGGAGACUGGAAUUCCUGGUGUAGCGGUGAAAUGCGCAGAUAUCAGGAGGAACACCGGUGGCGAAGGCGGUUCUCUGGGCCUGACCUGACGCUGAGGAGCGAAAGCGUGGGGAGCGAACAGG
RNAcentral lists this ribosomal RNA (253 nucleotides) under uncultured bacterium. Its description in RNAcentral is "partial 16S ribosomal RNA". It matches the Rfam family "Bacterial small subunit ribosomal RNA", at positions 524 to 776 of the family's 1533-position model. The record is from RNAcentral.